Molecule: ribosomal RNA, 497 nt
Filed under: uncultured bacterium
Lineage: Bacteria
Description: partial 16S ribosomal RNA
Rfam family: Bacterial small subunit ribosomal RNA
Source: RNAcentral
GAUGAACGCUGGCGGCGUGCCUAAUACAUGCAAGUCGAGCGGACGGACUAGGAGCUUGCUUCUAUGAUGUUAGCGGCGGACGGGUGAGUAACACGUGGGUAACCUACCUAUAAGACUGGGAUAACAUCGGGAAACCGGAGCUAAUACCGGAUAAUAUUUUGAACCACAUGGUUCAAAAGUAAAAGACGGUCUUGCUUUUCCUUAUAGAUGGAUCCGCGCUGUAUUAGCUAGUUGGUAAGGUAACGGCAUACCAAGGCCACGAUGCAUAGCCGCCCUGAGAGGGUUAUGCGCCACUCUGGAACUGAGACACGCCCCACACCCCUACGGGAGGGCGCAGUAGAGACUCCUGCGCUAUGGGCGAAAGCCAGACGGCACCACGCCGCGUGUGAUAUGGAGUUCCUCGGAUUGUAAAACUCUGUUAUGAGGGAAGACCGUAUGUGUAGGUAAAUGUCGAUAUCUUGACGGUACCUAAUCAGAAAGCCACGGCUAACUACGUG